AGGCUUAACACAUGCAAGUCGAACGGGCUUCUUCGGAAGUCAGUGGCAGACGGGUGAGUAACACGUGGGAACGUGCCCUUCGGUUCGGAAUAACUCAGGGAAACUUGAGCUAAUACCGGAUACGCCCUUAUGGGGAAAGGUUUACUGCCGAAGGAUCGGCCCGCGUCUGAUUAGCUUGUUGGUGGGGUAACGGCCUACCAAGGCGACGAUCAGUAGCUGGUCUGAGAGGAUGAUCAGCCACACUGGGACUGAGACACGGCCCAGACUCCUACGGGAGGCAGCAGUGGGGAAUAUUGGACAAUGGGCGCAAGCCUGAUCCAGCCAUGCCGCGUGAGUGAUGAAGGCCUUAGGGUUGUAAAGCUCUUUUGUCCGGGACGAUAAUGACGGUACCGGAAGAAUAAGCCCCGGCUAACUUCGUGCCAGCAGCCGCGGUAAUACGAAGGGGGCUAGCGUUGCUCGGAAUCACUGGGCGUAAAGGGCGCGUAGGCGGCCGAUUAAGUCGGGGGUGAAAGCCUGUGGCUCAACCACAGAAUUGCCUUCGAUACUGGUUGGCUUGAGACCGGAAGAGGACAGCGGAACUGCGAGUGUAGAGGUGAAAUUCGUAGAUAUUCGCAAGAACACCAGUGGCGAAGGCGGCUGUCUGGUCCGGUUCUGACGCUGAGGCGCGAAAGCGUGGGGAGCAAA
Molecule: ribosomal RNA, 684 nt
Filed under: uncultured Alphaproteobacteria bacterium
Lineage: Bacteria; Pseudomonadati; Pseudomonadota; Alphaproteobacteria
Description: bacterial SSU rRNA
Rfam family: Bacterial small subunit ribosomal RNA
Source: RNAcentral